GUGCUUACUGCCUCCCAGGCCCCAUCAGGUGCAUGAGAACUUAGGCACUUGACCCACACCACGAACCUGGGGCAGGAUCAUCAUCCCAAAACCAAGGACCCUGUGAAGGGCUUUGCCCCAGGUCCCACAGCCCUGAGUGGCAAGUUGAGAUUCAGGUCUAGGUUAGGCAGCUGGUGCCUUUUUUUCAGCAGAGCAUCUCUAAGAAGGCACCCUUCCUCCAAGGAACGCACGAACAGGAGGUUUCAGCGCCAGGACAGCGAGGCAGCAGUUUCCAAGCAGUGGGACUUUUCUGGACUGAACUGGAGAUUCAUGGAGGUGACCUCCACUUCCUACCUGCAGUGUCCAGCACCUCCUCCUCAGCUCCUGCUGCUCCAGCUGCUUCCUGACCCUUGGAAUCUGUGGCCUCAGGCCUGCUCUGCCCUCUGACUCAGGCAGCUCUGACCUUUGGGAUCUGAGCAGAUGGCCUGGGUGGUUUUGCCCCAUGAACUUGCUCUGACCUUCCCCCC
RNAcentral lists this long non-coding RNA (506 nucleotides) under Equus caballus (horse). RNAcentral's name for it is "lncRNA (ENSECAG00000048375.1)". The record is from RNAcentral. Lineage: Eukaryota; Metazoa; Chordata; Mammalia; Perissodactyla; Equidae.